This 737-nucleotide long non-coding RNA is filed under the name Homo sapiens (human). Its description in RNAcentral is "HSALNT0330856". Lineage: Eukaryota; Metazoa; Chordata; Mammalia; Primates; Hominidae. The record is from RNAcentral.
AAUGAGAUUAAGCUGUAGAGUGCUGUGAUUUAUAGGAUGGGCUGGAAUAUGAAGUUACGAAAGUUACACUCAAGGUUGUGGUCACUGAAACUUGGGGGAUGGCCGAGAUGAAGAAAAAAAGCUUUGAGAGAGAACGGAGGGGUGUGUGCAGGACUUUUGGGAUUGUCCUAAUCCAUGGCACAGGAGGAGAAUAAGGAUCCAACAAGAAAAACAGGAGCCAUAUGAGAAGAGAUCAGGAAAUUGAAUUGUCACAACUUCCACUGUGAUAAUUAGAUAUCAGAAUGAAUCAUUGUACCAGGCAGAUCAACCCUUUGAGUCUGGCUUAGCUCAGGCAGAAAUUGUAGUCUGCAAAAGAAACUGAGAAGAAGAGGGCAAGGAGAGUGUGGCAUCCCAAGACAUAAAGACUCAAAUCAAUGAGAGCAAGCAACUCUGUCAAAUUUCACCAGAAGUGAGGACUAAAUAUUGACUACCGAAUUUUGCAAGAAAGAUGAAGCAUUGGAAAGCACUGCAUAGCUCCAUGUUAUCAAUCAAUUAAUGUCUUCAGUCCUUUAAUGUCCUCUGGACAGCUGGGAUGCUUGGGAGAAGACUGUUGACAAGUCUUGUACGUGUGGAAGACACCAUUUUACUUACUUUCCCUUUAUUAUGGAAGGAACACAAGCCUAUCUUACAAAAAGAUACAUAGGACCCCGGAAGAACGAUUUUUAUUCUGAAUCUCAAUAAAAUAUUCUGUCACUUUG